This 455-nucleotide ribosomal RNA is filed under the name uncultured Sphingobacteriales bacterium. RNAcentral describes it as "bacterial SSU rRNA". It matches the Rfam family "Bacterial small subunit ribosomal RNA", at positions 926 to 1382 of the family's 1533-position model. Lineage: Bacteria; Pseudomonadati; Bacteroidota; Sphingobacteriia; Sphingobacteriales. The record is from RNAcentral.
CAAGCGGUGGAGCAUGUGGUUUAACUCGAUGAUACGCGAGGAACCUUACCUGGGCUCAAAUGUAUGUUGACGUAUUCUGAAAGGGAUACUUCUUCGGACAAUAUACAAGGUGCUGCAUGGUUGUCGUCAGCUCGUGCCGUGAGGUGUCGGGUUAAGUCCCAUAACGAGCGCAACCCCUAUCAUUAGUUGCCAUCAGGUCAAGCUGGGGACUCUAAUGAAACUGCCUACGCAAGUAGUGAGGAAGGUGGGGAUGACGUCAAGUCAUCAGUGGCCCUUACGGCCUGGGCUACACACGUGCUACAAUGGUCGGUACAAAGGGUUGCCAAGCCGCGAGGUGGAGCUAAUCCCAUAAAACCGAUCGUAGUCCGGAUCGCAGUCUGCAACUCGACUGCGUGAAGUCGGAAUCGCUAGUAAUCGUGAAUCAGAAUGUCACGGUGAAUACGUUCCCGGGCCUU